This 513-nucleotide ribosomal RNA is filed under the name uncultured bacterium. RNAcentral's name for it is "partial 16S ribosomal RNA". It matches the Rfam family "Bacterial small subunit ribosomal RNA", at positions 28 to 523 of the family's 1533-position model. The record is from RNAcentral.
GAUGAACGCUGGCGGCAUGCCUAAUACAUGCAAGUCGAGCGAACAGAUGAAGUGCUUGCACUUCUGACGUUAGCGGCGAACGGGUGAGUAACACGUAAGGAAUCUACCUAUAAGCGGGGGAUAACAUUCGGAAACGGGUGCUAAUACCGCAUAAUAUCUUCUUCCGCACGGAAGAAGAUUGAAAGACGGCUCUGCUGUCACUUAUAGAUGACCUUGCGGUGCAUUAGUUAGUUGGUGGGGUAAUGGCCUACCAAGACGAUGAUGCAUAGCCGACCUGAGAGGGUGAUCGGCCACAUUGGGACUGAGACACGGCCCAAACUCCUACGGGAGGCAGCAGUAGGGAAUCUUCCGCAAUGGGCGAAAGCCUGACGGAGCAAUGCCGCGUGAGUGAAGAAGGCCUUCGGGUCGUAAAACUCUGUUAUAAGAGAAGAACAAAUUGUAGAGUAACUGCUACAGUCUUGACGGUAUCUUAUCAGAAAGCCACGGCUAACUACGUGCCAGCCGCCGCGGUAA